Molecule: long non-coding RNA, 351 nt
Organism: Oncorhynchus tshawytscha (Chinook salmon)
Lineage: Eukaryota; Metazoa; Chordata; Actinopteri; Salmoniformes; Salmonidae
Source: Ensembl
CCCUGGCCUGUCUCCCCUUGUAUGGUACAGGUACCCCCACCACACUCCCCCUCUCUCCCUGGCCUGUCUCCCCUGUCUGGUACAGGUACCCCCACCACACUCCACCCUCUCUCCCUGGUCUGUCUCCCCUGUCUGGUCCAGGGACCCCCACCACACUCACCCCUCUCUCCCUGGCCUGUCUGGUACAGGUACCCCCACCACACGCACCCUUCUCUCCCUGGCCUGUCUGGUACAGGUACCCCCACCACACUCACCCCUCUCUCCCUGACCUGUCUGGUACAGGUACCUCCACCACACUCACCCCUCUCUCCCUGGCCUGUCUGGUACAGGUACCCCCACCACACCCCCUCU